Molecule: long non-coding RNA, 790 nt
Organism: Stylophora pistillata
Lineage: Eukaryota; Metazoa; Cnidaria; Anthozoa; Scleractinia; Pocilloporidae
Source: RefSeq, a predicted model, not a curated record
UGUGAGAUCUUUUGAUUGUGCUCUUGGCAUAUUCCUCUUUUAGCUUUGAGCCAAGUUUUUUUUAAAAAGAGGUACUGUAUGCAUUUCUUGAAGUUUGACAACAUUAUAGCAAAAAAAAAAAUCAUUGUGACAAGCCUAAUAUUACAGGGCAAAAUUUAUUAUGGUAACAGUUACACAGUACUUUGGUUUCAUCACUUGGAAAUUUGUUUCAUCUCUGACACUAUGCAACUUUAGAGGUUUGGUAUUUAGUUUGUAAAGUGAAAUAAAAUGUUUUCAUUCCUCCAUUGAUCCAUAGGUCUUGUCAGGUUUUUUUUUUUUUCCUUGCAUAGUAGACAACAUUCAUUACAUGUGCAACGGCACCCUUGCAUUCCUUCAUUAGGAGAUCCAAACCACACUGAAAGUCUUAUGAAGUUAUGGCGAUAGACAGUUGCGUAUUCUCUCUUAUCUAAUAAUUUCACUGUACAUGUAAGAGGUCCCAGGUCAACCCUUGGUGCACUGACGACCACAGAGAGUAUGGAUGCUGCAGGGAACAGUCAGUGAUGCCUAACAACAUGUGGCAACCAGAAGUCAGACAGUCCAUUAUUUGCUUCCUCGUGAUCAAGGAGCUGAUCCUCUGUAAAGAAGAUGAUCAAAGUGUUACUUAAUUGACAAGUGAAGAAAUCAGAGUCAUGCAGGAAAAGCUGUCCCUUAAUCAUAUCAAUGCAUGUAGCAGGUUGCUUCUGAGAAAAGGAACAUCCCAUUCAGAAGCAAAGCAAAAUCCAAGUCACUUUAAUAGGCCUAGAUGCUAACA